Long non-coding RNA from Myotis davidii, 1173 nucleotides. RefSeq lists it as uncharacterized. The transcript has 3 exons. The record is from RefSeq and is a predicted model, not a curated record. Lineage: Eukaryota; Metazoa; Chordata; Mammalia; Chiroptera; Vespertilionidae.
UUCAGAGGACCGAAUCCGGAAUAGUUGCUCUUGCCGCCAGGACCCGGGUGGGGUGGGUGAUGCCCAGCGAGGGAGGCGCUAGUUCAAUGUGUAGCCUCUUCUCGGGGUCAGCCGCGCGUCUGUAAUCGCUUCUGCAGGUCCCUUCCUUUUCUAGAAGUUUAUUACUGCUCUUCUGGGGCUGUGAGCGCCUACACUUCGAGGAAAGUUAAACCCGGAAAUGUGGGAGAAAGGAUAGGUUCUUAUAAGACACAUACAAGGAAAAAAUACCAGGGAACGUGCCCUGACUAAAUAGUCAGGUAUUGCAUGUUUUAAAAAUUCUUGCAGCACACCGGUUGAAAAUCGGUGGGCUGUUGUGCUGGAGGUGGUGAAAAGGGAAAGGAGGCAAUUAUGAUGGAUUAGCUAUGGGGUGGCUGGGUGGUGGUGGUGGGGGGAAGUGGAGGUGGGCUUAGGAGAGGGAUUCAUGCCUUGCAUAACUGAUGGAUGGCAGUUCAAUCCCAAAGAGAUUUCUAGGUAGACAAUGUGCUGGAUGCACUGCCAAUUUUAUCUCUUUUCAUUCUUCUUUUGUAGCUACCACGGAGAUCCUACCCUUGGUUAAUGUUUUCCUACUUUUGGGACAUCAUUUACAUUGCUUAGGUACAAUCAGAUUCCAAUUCUUUCCUUGCUUACUCUCUAGUCACUGUGAUUGGAUUUGGAUAUUUAGUCUUCAAAGUCUUCAAAUAUUUAAGGACAAUCACUCGGGAUAUGCCUUAUCUUCCAAAGGGUGAUCUUGCUAUUGAUUGCUUUCUACUUUCAUUCUUAGAGGAAAAGCUAAUAAAGUGAGCCCCACCAACCUUACAUGCCAAAAUAAAUUUUAAUGAAUUGUUCUUAAUAAAAAUUAGGUUGAAUGUGAAAGCAGUUAACAUUUAUACAGUAGCUAAAUGAGCCACGACAUAAACAAAGUUAAUUCACAAAUGGGGAAAUAAAAGAAUAAACAUGAAAAAAAGUUCCAGGUGUUGAAAGGCUGGGUCCGGGGACCGCUUUCAGGAACGUGCAGGGAGGGGCGCACGGAGAUGGCACCGCCCCCUCCGGAAGUCCCCGCCCACCCCAGGAAGGCACACCCCCGGAAGUUCCCCGCCCACCCCCGGAAGGCGCCGGCACUGGACUUCCAGAGGCGGCCCGAUAGGCGCUCUCGUC